GAGUGAGGAGAGAAACCGAGAAUGGGAAGAGAGAAAGAUAGAGACAGGGAAAGAGGAGAGAGACCGAGACCGAGGCCGAGAAUGAGGAGAGAGAGAGAGAAAGAGAGAGAGAGAGAGAGAGAGAGAGAGAGAGAGAGAGAGAGAGAGAGAGAGAGAGAGAGAGAGAAAACUGUUGACUAUAUAUGAUGGUGUAUAUACCACUGAGAGAAAUUUUCUGUUGGAUGAGUGAGAGCCAUAUAGCUGAGUGGGAUAUUCUCCCCUAUUAAGAUGCUGACUUCCCAUAUUUUCUAGCAUUUCCCUUCCUUAGUCUCUGACAUAUUCAUGUAACUGCUUUAACCUCAGCAGCUUUCCUCAGCUUUUAGAGGAAAUUCAGUGUGCUAAAAUCAAUGGAUCCAUCACCUCAACCCUUCAGAAUCAUAACUUUAGCACUAAAAGGGGCCACAGAGACUGCCAAGUCUAUUCAAUACAUAAGGAAACUGAGUCGGUCAGUCAGAAACCAUUUCUUAUUUCUUACAAACCUACUGUGUGGUGGGUCCUGUGCUAAGUACUGUGAAUACCAAGUCAGGCAAGAGUCCCUGCCUUCCAGGAGUUCACAGUCUAAUGAGGAUCAACUGGCAAGACUCAAACCCAGCUUCCCUGACUCCAGUGGUCUCUUUUCACUGCAAUAUAAGUGGUGAAGAUGAUGCCCAGAGAGAAGAAGCAUCUGUCUCAAGGUCACACAGCUCGCCAUACUGAAGAUCUGGUACUAUUAGCUCCUCUUUUUCUAAACUAAAGACAGUCCCUUCCUCCAUCUGCCUCUGCCCUGCCCCCUUCCUCUCCUCUCAGUUUUUUAAAAACAAGAGAUAAUUUCAUUUGU
Molecule: long non-coding RNA, 856 nt
Filed under: Monodelphis domestica (gray short-tailed opossum)
Lineage: Eukaryota; Metazoa; Chordata; Mammalia; Didelphimorphia; Didelphidae
Description: lncRNA (ENSMODG00000036411.1)
Source: RNAcentral